AGCGAACGCUGGCGGCAGGCUUAACACAUGCAAGUCGAGCGGGCCCUUCGGGGUCAGCGGCAGACGGGUGAGUAACACGUGGGAACGUACCCUUUGGUUCGGAAUAACGCUGGGAAACUAGCGCUAAUACCGGAUACGCCCUUUUGGGGAAAGGCUUGCUGCCGAAGGAUCGGCCCGCGUCUGAUUAGCUAGUUGGUGGGGUAAUGGCCUACCAAGGCGACGAUCAGUAGCUGGUCUGAGAGGAUGAUCAGCCACACUGGGACUGAGACACGGCCCAGACUCCUACGGGAGGCAGCAGUGGGGAAUAUUGGAAAAUGGGCGCAAGCCUGAUCCAGCCAUGCCGCGUGAGUGAUGAAGGCAUUAGGGUUGUAAAGCUCUUUUGUCCGGGACGAUAAUGACGGUACCGGAAGAAUAAGCCCCGGCUAACUUCGUG
This 433-nucleotide ribosomal RNA is filed under the name uncultured bacterium. RNAcentral's name for it is "partial 16S ribosomal RNA". It matches the Rfam family "Bacterial small subunit ribosomal RNA", at positions 29 to 507 of the family's 1533-position model. The record is from RNAcentral.